GUAGCAAUACCUAGUGGCAGACGGGUGAGUAACGCGUGGUCAACCUACCCUCGAGUGGGGGAUAACUAACCGAAAGGUUAGCUAAUACCGCAUGAAACGUAGCACGGCAUCGUGCAACGUUAAAAGGAGCAAUUCGUUUGAGGACGGGACCGCGUCCGAUUAGUUAGUUGGUGGGGUAAUGGCCUACCAAGACUCCGAUCGGUAGCUGGUUUGAGAGAGCGACCAGCCACACUGGGACUGAGAAACGGCCCAGACUCCUACGGGAGGCAGCAGUGAGGAAUUUUCCGCAAUGGGCGCAAGCCUGACGGAGCGACGCCGCGUGUGGGAAGAAGGCCUUCGGG
Molecule: ribosomal RNA, 341 nt
Filed under: uncultured bacterium
Lineage: Bacteria
Description: bacterial SSU rRNA
Rfam family: Bacterial small subunit ribosomal RNA
Source: RNAcentral